GGUAGUAUGGCCGAGUGGUUUAAGGCAUUGGAAUUUACAAUUCAAAAUCCGAUUUGCGAAGGUUCGAAUCAUUCUUCUACCA
This 82-nucleotide transfer RNA is filed under the name Tritrichomonas foetus. It matches the Rfam family "tRNA". From Rfam's summary of the family: Transfer RNA (tRNA) molecules are approximately 80 nucleotides in length. Their secondary structure includes four short double-helical elements and three loops (D, anti-codon, and T loops). The record is from Rfam by way of RNAcentral. Lineage: Eukaryota; Parabasalia; Tritrichomonadida; Tritrichomonadidae.